GGUAGCAGAGAGGGGCAGCGAAAACAACAUUAGGUUUCUUAGAGUUCUAUGACUCAACCAAAGAAGUGUGGCGGUUUGGGGUUUCGGGACCUCAAGCUCUUCAACAUAGCUCUUUUGGCUAGGCAAUCAUGGUGCCUCCUCGCCACAGCUGAAUCUCUUUGUGCCAGGAUGCUCAAGAUUGUCUAUUACCCUAACAGUGGCAUUCUCAAUGUUGAACUGGGGUCUCACCAAUCUCAAGUUUGGAGGUCCAUCUUGCAGGGCAGAGAUUCUCUCUUGCAUGGCCUCAUUGGGUGUAACGGCAACGUUACUACUAUGCGGGUAUGGAGGAUCCCAAGAGAUGCAUCUAUGAGGCAAGUUGUGUGCCUGACUAAUGAUCUUCCUACCUUUGUUAGUGUUCUCAUUGACAACACCUCGACAGCAUGGAGAGUUGACAAGCUGAGGCAAUACUUUAUUCACUCUGAUGCUUAA
This 468-nucleotide ribosomal RNA is filed under the name Triticum aestivum (bread wheat). Its description in RNAcentral is "partial small subunit ribosomal RNA". Lineage: Eukaryota; Viridiplantae; Streptophyta; Magnoliopsida; Poales; Poaceae. The record is from RNAcentral.